This 30-nucleotide ribosomal RNA is filed under the name Marshallagia occidentalis. RNAcentral describes it as "partial 28S ribosomal RNA". Lineage: Eukaryota; Metazoa; Nematoda; Chromadorea; Rhabditida; Trichostrongylidae. The record is from RNAcentral.
CGGGGGGAGGAGAAGCUCUCUUCUUUGUUU